Molecule: non-coding RNA, 1089 nt
Organism: Drosophila suzukii
Lineage: Eukaryota; Metazoa; Arthropoda; Insecta; Diptera; Drosophilidae
Source: RefSeq, a predicted model, not a curated record
UUUGCGUUGGCUUUUCUUUUCAGUUUUUAUUUCUGUUAAGUGAAAUGUGCAGGGGCUUCAACACACCGAACCAAAAACGGAGAAAACACAGAAAGCAGUGGAAUAAAAAAAAAAUAUUCUAGUUGCAGCAGCAUUCGUUGUCGUUGCCUGGCUGUUCCUUAAAUAAAUUUAGCUUAGUUUUUGAAUGGUUUUUGCACUUGAGAGGUUUAUAUUUUCCACUGCGCCCUACCGACUAAACGGAAUGUGUAACAUCAUUUAAAUGGUAUAAUACAUCCAUUUCUGACCACUGUGACCCACGCAACCGUGCCUGCAAAGCAAUCUCCCAACGCAGCAGCAGUUCUCCAAGCGGACCCAACCAAACCAUACCAAACUCAAAUGCCGCAUGGACUGCUCCUUCUCCAUCGACUGGGACUCCCAACUCUUGACUUGGACUGCGAAAAGCGAUUCGGGAUUCGCGACUCUUGCGAUGGCACGACUUUGGCGAAAUAAGAUAUAAGCACGACAUAAAUGAUAUUUUGUCAUCUUUAUUAUCAGAGCGCGCCAGAGAGGAAGUUAGGUAGAAGGAGCCAAGUCGAAGGUGGAGGAAUACAGGUAAAUGGCAUAAAGUAACCAAAUAAGCGCAGAGCAGCUGAAGAUGCGGCUAACCGGUGUCAUGGGAAGAGGCCAAUGCCAAGAAAAUAUAAAUACUCGUACAAGUACAAGAACAAGGAUGGCUCGUCUGCGUGGAGAAUUGGCCAUUGAAUGCCAGAAGCAGAUGCAGAGGCAAUAGCAAAAGCAAAAGCAAAAGCAGUCCAAUGCUAGAGGGCCAGGUGAGUGUCAGGCCGAAAGGCAGGAAGCAACUGCAACACUUGACCAGCAGUCGUCUUGCGAUUCUGUGGACGACACCACAAUGGAAAUGGCACUGGCAACGCGAAUGGCUAUGGCCAGGUUUCAGCUGGCCCAGGUUAUGGUUUACCCCAUCUCCAUGGUGCGUCAUAUUUACGGUUCGCCCCAACACAUAAACAACAUUAUUUGCCACCCCAUACCAACUCGGGCCUGUCAUAAACUAGUUUCACACACGUCUAUAUCUCUAUGUGCAGAGAGAAAAAA